RNAcentral lists this ribosomal RNA (1169 nucleotides) under Capnocytophaga canimorsus. RNAcentral's name for it is "bacterial SSU rRNA". It matches the Rfam family "Bacterial small subunit ribosomal RNA", at positions 28 to 1206 of the family's 1533-position model. Lineage: Bacteria; Pseudomonadati; Bacteroidota; Flavobacteriia; Flavobacteriales; Flavobacteriaceae. The record is from RNAcentral.
GAUGAACGCUAGCGGCAGGCCUAACACAUGCAAGUCGAGGGGUAGAGUGCUUCGGCACUUGAGACCGGCGCACGGGUGCGUAACACGUGUACAAUCUACCUUUUGCUAAGGGAUAGCCCGAAGAAAUUUGGAUUAAUACCUUAUAGUAUUGUUUGGUGGCAUCACUGAAUAAUUAAAGCUCUGGUGGCAAAAGAUGAGUACGCGUCCCAUUAGCUAGUUGGUGUGGUAACGGCAUACCAAGGCUACGAUGGGUAGGGGUCCUGAGAGGGAGGUCCCCCACACUGGUACUGAGACACGGACCAGACUCCUACGGGAGGCAGCAGUGAGGAAUAUUGGACAAUGGUCGGAAGACUGAUCCAGCCAUGCCGCGUGCAGGAUGACGGCCUUAUGGGUUGUAAACUGCUUUUAUACAGGAAGAAUAAGGUCUACGAGUAGAUUGAUGACGGUACUGUAUGAAUAAGCAUCGGCUAACUCCGUGCCAGCAGCCGCGGUAAUACGGAGGAUGCGAGCGUUAUCCGGAAUCAUUGGGUUUAAAGGGUCCGUAGGCGGGCUUAUAAGUCAGAGGUGAAAGCACUGAGCUCAACUGAGUAACUGCCUUUGAAACUGUAGGUCUUGAAUGUUUGUGAAGUAGCUGGAAUGUGUAGUGUAGCGGUGAAAUGCAUAGAUAUUACACAGAACACCGAUUGCGAAGGCAUGUUACUAACAAAUUAUUGACGCUGAUGGACGAAAGCGUGGGGAGCGAACAGGAUUAGAUACCCUGGUAGUCCACGCUGUAAACGAUGGAUACUAGCUGUUUGGUAGUAAUAUUGAGUGGCUAAGCGAAAGUGAUAAGUAUCCCACCUGGGGAGUACGCACGCAAGUGUGAAACUCAAAGGAAUUGACGGGGGCCCGCACAAGCGGUGGAGCAUGUGGUUUAAUUCGAUGAUACGCGAGGAACCUUACCAAGGUUUAAAUGAGAAACGACGUAUCUAGAGAUAGAUAUUUCUUCGGACGUUUUUCAAGGUGCUGCAUGGUUGUCGUCAGCUCGUGCCGUGAGGUGUCAGGUUAAGUCCUAUAACGAGCGCAACCCCUGCGAAUAGUUGCCAUCAUUAAGUUGGGCACUCUAUUUGGACUGCCGGUGCAAACCGUGAGGAAGGUGGGGAUGACGUCAAAUCAUCACGGCCCUUACA